CCGGGUUCUCCGGUUUCCUCCCACAGUCCAAAGGCAUGCAGCCAUAUAGCAUCAGUAGAAAUAACCAAGGAAAUGUAAGUGUAAAAAAUGUAUGUGUGGCUGGUAUGCAUAGACAGCCCAGCAGUUAAGUUCUAGUCUGGCUUUUUGUUAAAUACAGUAUGUGACUAAUCAAAUUGUUUGUCUUUUGUUUUCUGUUCUUGGUAUCCAUUUCUGGAUGAAAUUCCCUGAGGCUGGUGAUGGGGAGAACAAUGCUGAGAUUCUGUCUCCAAUGACGUGUGCACUGGCUGACUGAUUCACUUUGUUAUUCUUCAUAUUGUAUCUUAGAUGCACAAUAGAAUUCCCCAGUAGGGACUGGAUGGGAUUUUGGUCACGGAACCCCAGAGGCUUUUCUCCAUUGGAGUUUUUAUCCUUUCUCCACAGACCUUCUAAUCGUUUAGUAUAACUCUUUUAUUUGACUGUUUUUCCAUUGUUUCCAUGUACAACCAUUUGUUAAGCACCUUGAAUUAUACUUUGUAUUGGAAGGCGCUGUAUAAAUAAAUGUUGAUGUA
This is a long non-coding RNA of Polypterus senegalus (gray bichir), 548 nucleotides long. RefSeq lists it as uncharacterized. The record is from RefSeq and is a predicted model, not a curated record. Lineage: Eukaryota; Metazoa; Chordata; Cladistia; Polypteriformes; Polypteridae. The transcript is spliced from 2 exons.